GACGUAGGGGGCGAGCGUUGUCCGGAAUUACUGGGCGUAAAGAGCACGUAGGCGGAGACUUAAGUCAGGUGUGAAAGACCGGGGCUCAACCCCGGGAUUGCAUUUGAAACUGGGUCCCUUGAGGGCAGGAGAGGAAAGCAGAAUUCCUGGUGUAGCGGUGAAAUGCGUAGAAAUCAGGAGGAAUACCAGUGGCGAAGGCGGCUUUCUGGACUGACCCUGACGCUGAGGUGCGAAAGCGUGGGUAGCAAACAGG
This 253-nucleotide ribosomal RNA is filed under the name uncultured Syntrophomonas sp. Its description in RNAcentral is "partial 16S ribosomal RNA". It matches the Rfam family "Bacterial small subunit ribosomal RNA", at positions 524 to 776 of the family's 1533-position model. The record is from RNAcentral. Lineage: Bacteria; Bacillati; Bacillota; Clostridia; Eubacteriales; Syntrophomonadaceae.